RNAcentral lists this ribosomal RNA (444 nucleotides) under uncultured bacterium. RNAcentral's name for it is "bacterial SSU rRNA". It matches the Rfam family "Bacterial small subunit ribosomal RNA", at positions 331 to 792 of the family's 1533-position model. The record is from RNAcentral.
CCAGACUCCUACGGGAGGCAGCAGUGGGGAAUAUUGCACAAUGGGCGAAGGCCUGAUGCAGCGACGCCGCGUGAAGGAUGAAGUAUUUCGGUAUGUAAACUUCUAUCAGCAGGGAGGAAAAUGACGGUACCUGACUAAGAAGCCCCGGCUAACUACGUGCCAGCAGCCGCGGUAAUACGUAGGGGGCAAGCGUUAUCCGGAUUUACUGGGUGUAAAGGGAGCGUAGACGGCGAUGCAAGCCAGAUGUGAAAGCCCGGGGCUCAACCCCGGGACUGCAUUUGGAACUGUGUGGCUGGAGUGUCGGAGAGGCAAGUGGAAUUCCUAGUGUAGCGGUGAAAUGCGUAGAUAUUAGGAGGAACACCAGUGGCGAAGGCGGCUUGCUGGACGAUGACUGACGUUGAGGCUCGAAAGCGUGGGGAGCAAACAGGAUUAGAUACCCCAGUA